UGCCUUUCUGUUGUAAUUGAUGCCAAUAA
Molecule: non-coding RNA, 29 nt
Filed under: Homo sapiens (human)
Lineage: Eukaryota; Metazoa; Chordata; Mammalia; Primates; Hominidae
Source: RNAcentral